AGUUGCCUACGGGGCGCAGCAGUGGGGAAAAUUGCGCAAUGGGCGAAAGCCUGACGCAGCGACGCCGCGUGAGGGAUGAAGGUCUUCGGAUCGUAAACCUCUGUCAGCAGGGAAGAACGGUCACUGUGCUAAUCAGCAGCGAGUUGACGGUACCUGCAAAGGAAGCACCGGCUAACUCCGUGCCAGCAGCCGCGGUAAUACGGAGGGUGCGAGCGUUAAUCGGAAUUACUGGGCGUAAAGCGCUCGUAGGCGGUAUGUCAAGUCAAGGGCGAAAUCCCCGCGCUCAACGUGGGAACUGCCUUUGA
Molecule: ribosomal RNA, 305 nt
Filed under: uncultured bacterium
Lineage: Bacteria
Description: bacterial SSU rRNA
Rfam family: Bacterial small subunit ribosomal RNA
Source: RNAcentral